Molecule: ribosomal RNA, 244 nt
Filed under: uncultured Staphylococcus sp.
Lineage: Bacteria; Bacillati; Bacillota; Bacilli; Caryophanales; Staphylococcaceae
Description: partial 16S ribosomal RNA
Rfam family: Bacterial small subunit ribosomal RNA
Source: RNAcentral
UACGUAGGUGGCAAGCGUUAUCCGGAAUUAUUGGGCGUAAAGCGCGCGUAGGCGGUUUUCUAAGUCUGAUGUGAAAGCCCACGGCUCAACCGUGGAGGGUCAUUGGAGACUGGAAAACUUGAGUGCAGAAGAGGAAAGUGGAAUUCCAUGUGUAGCGGUGAAAUGCGCAGAGAUAUGGAGGAACACCAGUGGCGAAGGCGACUUUCUGGUCUGUAACUGACGCUGAUGUGCGAAAGCGUGGGGA